CACACCUGCAAACCUUGAAACAUUACGUUCUACAGUUAAUUAAGAUCGACGUUGGAGAAGACAGGUGACCCCAUAGUUAAAGAGUUCUUCAUCUUGCAUGCUCUAUCUAG
Molecule: long non-coding RNA, 110 nt
Organism: Agrilus planipennis (emerald ash borer)
Lineage: Eukaryota; Metazoa; Arthropoda; Insecta; Coleoptera; Buprestidae
Exons: 2
Source: RefSeq, a predicted model, not a curated record